RNAcentral lists this ribosomal RNA (460 nucleotides) under uncultured bacterium. RNAcentral's name for it is "partial 16S ribosomal RNA". It matches the Rfam family "Bacterial small subunit ribosomal RNA", at positions 338 to 795 of the family's 1533-position model. The record is from RNAcentral.
CCUACGGGGGGCAGCAGUGAGGAAUAUUGGUCAAUGGACGAGAGUCUGAACCAGCCAAGUAGCGUGCAGGAUGACUUCCCUAUGGGUUGUAAACUUCUUUUAUAUGGGAAUAAAACGUCCCACGUGUGGGAUUUUGUAUGUACCAUAUGAAUAAGGACCGGCUAACUCCGUGCCAGCAUCCGCGGUAAUACGGAGGAUCCGCGCGUUAUCCGGAUUUAUUGGGUUUAAAGGGAGCGUAGGUGGCUUGUUAAGUCAGUUGUGAAAGUUUGCGGCUCAACCGUAGAAUUGCAGUUGAAACUGGCAGUCUUGAGUACAGGAGAGGUAGGCGGAAUGCGUGGUGUAGCGGUGAAAUGCUUAGAUAUCACGAAGAACUCCGAUUGCGAAGGCAGUUCACUGGACUGCAACUGACACUGAGGCUCGAAAGUGUGGGUAUCAAACAGGAUUAGAUACCCUUGUAGUC